This 403-nucleotide ribosomal RNA is filed under the name uncultured bacterium. RNAcentral's name for it is "partial 16S ribosomal RNA". It matches the Rfam family "Bacterial small subunit ribosomal RNA", at positions 28 to 526 of the family's 1533-position model. The record is from RNAcentral.
GACGAACGCUGGCGGCGUGCCUAAUACAUGCAAGUCGAACGCAGUGGGGACGGGUGAGUAACCCGUUGGUAACCUCCCAUCAGAGGGGAUAACACUUGGAAACAGGUGCUAAACCGAUACUGAUGGAUGGACGCGCGGUGCAGUAGCUAGUGGGUGAGGUAACGGCGCACCAAGGCCACGAUGCAUAACCGAGCUGAGAGGGUGAUCGGCCACACUGGAACUGAGACACGGACCAGACUCCUACGGGAGGCAGCAGUAGGGAAUAUUCGGCAAUGGGCGAAAGUCUGACCGAGCAACGCCGCGUGAGUGAAGAAGGUUUUCGGAUCGUAAAGCUCUGUUGUUAGAGAAGCGGUAUCUAACCAGAAAGCAACGGCUAACUACGUGCCAGCAGCCGCGGUAAUAC